UGUCCAUUUGUUUCCUCAUGUGAUGUGUUCCUGUGUUUCAGUUUGAGUACGCUCUGAGACACCUGUACGCUCUGGUGAACCUGUGCGAGAGAGGAUACCCUGCAGACAGCAUCCUGCUCGCCAUGGACUCUGUGUGUCAUUUCAGCAAGCAAAGGGGUUUCUAAAAAAUCCUUUUUAAACGGCUUCUUCUCCUUCAUGUGGGAGAACCAGAGGAGACGAGCUUCUCUUUGCACUGCUUUACAAAUCAACACUUCUUAUUCUGUUUUUACCUUGUGAUGUAUUUUUGAUUUUGCUGAGAACUUUCAAACCUGUUUUAUGAUGAGUUCACUGAUCACCGUGAACAAUAUUGUGGAUAUUUUACCCUUUUUAGGACAUCAGAUAGACAAUUAUAACAUGUUCAUUUGCUCUUAUCUUUGUAUGUGGUAUGGACGGCCUGAAAUGAAUGGAUGAUUGGCAUGUGGAGGACGUCUCGCUGAACACUGAAUGUUUGCUGAACCUCAAGAGACUGCUGUAAACACUAGGAUCUUGAAAUAAAAUCUAAAAACUGCAAAAAAGUCA
Long non-coding RNA from Notothenia coriiceps (black rockcod), 558 nucleotides. RefSeq lists it as uncharacterized. NCBI's taxonomy places the organism in Eukaryota, Metazoa, Chordata, Actinopteri, Perciformes, Nototheniidae. The transcript has 2 exons. The record is from RefSeq and is a predicted model, not a curated record.